This 760-nucleotide ribosomal RNA is filed under the name uncultured bacterium. RNAcentral describes it as "bacterial SSU rRNA". It matches the Rfam family "Bacterial small subunit ribosomal RNA", at positions 118 to 879 of the family's 1533-position model. The record is from RNAcentral.
UGAGCAACAUGCCCUAUACAGGGGAAUAAACCAGGGAAACUUGGUCUAAUGCCCCAUAGCAAUAAGAUAAGGCAUCUUAUUUUAUUUAAAGCUUCGGUGGUAUAGGAUUGGCUCGCGUGACAUUAGCUGGAUGGUGGGGUAACGGCCCACCAUGGCGAUGAUGUCUAGGGGUUCUGAGAGGAAGACCCCCCACACUGGGACUGAGACACGGCCCAGACUCCUACGGGAGGCAGCAGUGAGGAAUAUUGGACAAUGGAUGGAAAUCUGAUCCAGCCAUGCCGCGUGCAGGAAGACGGCCCUAUGGGUUGUAAACUGCUUUUCUACGGGAGCAAUAAGGUCUACGCGUAGACUGAUGAGAGUACCGUAGGAAUAAGCAUCGGCUAACUCCGUGCCAGCAGCCGCGGUAAUACGGAGGAUGCGAGCGUUAUCCGGAUUUAUUGGGUUUAAAGGGUGCGUAGGCGGCUUUUUAAGUCAGCGGUGAAAUUUUGCAGCUUAACUGUAACAGUGCCGUUGAUACUGGGGAGCUAGGAUUUGGUUGCUGUGGGUGGAAUGUGUGGUGUAGCGGUGAAAUGCUUAGAGAUCACACAGAAUAUCGAUUGCGAAGGCAGCUCACAAAGCCAAGAUUGACGCUGAGGCACGAAAGUGUGGGGAUCAAACAGGAUUAGAUACCCUGGUAGUCCACACUGUAAACGAUGAUAACUCGCUGUCGGCGAUACACAGUCGGUGGCCAAGCGAAAGCGAUAAGUUAUCCACCUGGGGA